GACAGAGGGGGCAAGCGUUGCUCGGAAUUACUGGGCGUAAAGGGCGCGUAGGCGGGAUGGCAAGUCGGUCGUGAAAUCCCUCGGCUCAACCGAGGUACGUCGAUCGAUACUGCCGUUCUUGAGGAUUGCAGAGGAGACUGGAAUUCCCGGUGUAGCGGUGAAAUGUGUAGAGAUCGGGAGGAACACCGGUGGCGAAGGCGGGUCUCUGGGCAAUUCCUGACGCUGAGGCGCGAAAGCGUGGGGAGCAAACGGGAUUAGAUACCCCGGUAGUCCACGCUGUAAACGAUGACGACUAGGUGUGGGGGGGUUCAGUCCCUUCCGUGCCGCAGCUAACGCAUUAAGUCGUCCGCCUGGGGAGUA
RNAcentral lists this ribosomal RNA (360 nucleotides) under uncultured bacterium. RNAcentral describes it as "bacterial SSU rRNA". It matches the Rfam family "Bacterial small subunit ribosomal RNA", at positions 524 to 882 of the family's 1533-position model. The record is from RNAcentral.